Molecule: ribosomal RNA, 465 nt
Filed under: uncultured bacterium
Lineage: Bacteria
Description: partial 16S ribosomal RNA
Rfam family: Bacterial small subunit ribosomal RNA
Source: RNAcentral
GACGAACGCUGGCGGCGUGCUUAACACAUGCAAGUCGAACGGAAAGGCCCCUUCGGGGGUACUCGAGUGGCGAACGGGUGAGUAACACGUGAGUAACCUGCCCUUGCCUUCGGGAUAACUUCAGGAAGCUGGGGCUAAUACCGGAUAGGAAUCCUUGCUGCAUGGUGGGGGUUGGAAAGCUUCGGCGGUUUUGGAUGGACUCGCGGCUUAUCAGCUUGUUGGUGGGGUAGUGGCUUACCAAGGCUUUGACGGGUAGCCGGCCUGAGAGGGCGACCGGCCACAUUGGGACUGAGAUACGGCCCAGACUCCUACGGGAGGCAGCAGUGGGGAAGAUUGCACAAUGGGCGGAAGCCUGAUGCAGCAACGCCGCGUGCGGGAUGACGGCCUUCGGGUUGUAAACCGCUUUCAGCAGGGGCGAAGCUUGUGGUGACGGUACCUGCAGAAGAAGCACCGGCUAACUACGUG